Gossypium arboreum is the source of this 535-nucleotide long non-coding RNA. RefSeq lists it as uncharacterized. The record is from RefSeq and is a predicted model, not a curated record. The transcript has 3 exons. Lineage: Eukaryota; Viridiplantae; Streptophyta; Magnoliopsida; Malvales; Malvaceae.
AUUUAAGGCCCUUUGUUCUCUGUAUUUUUCCCAAAACAUAUCCCCCUUUGCAGCCGAAAAUCACAGCUUGAAAACUUAACUUUUAGGGUUCCCUUUUUAACAUCUGAAUCACCAUUGUUUUGGUGACCAUCUGCAUGUAAAAAGCCUUCGUUCUCCCCGUUGAAGGCACUUGUACCAAAUUUAAAAAGAUUCACUAAUGGUAUGGAUGAUGAUCGGGUUUUACCAACGGAAGCGUCAAUUUUGGAAAUCUGAAUCAUCUGUACGGAAGAGAUGACCUGAAGACGUGGAGGCGGAGUGUGAAGACUCUCGUGUGAGGCCACAUUUCUGGUGCUAUUCUGGCUUGUUCCAGAAUACUCUUGUCAUUCACAAAAUACUGAAAUAAUUUUGGGUGUAUUGGGCCUCGGGUUUUGGGCUUAUUUAGGCCAAUUUUAUUGGGAUUUUGGAGAUUUAGAAUUUGGGUCAAAUAUUAUGUAAUUGUGUUAAAGAGUCUUGGAGUAUUUGGUUAGAAAAUAAGUUUAUUUUAUUUUAGCCCAAA